AUUCUUUUCUAAUAACAUUUUUUCGAACAUUCCAAAAAUCUUAAUUUUAUAACCACAGAGUGCCCAACAUUUUAAACUCAUCUAUAUAAGUGGAGAAACACAAAAUUGUUAUAGAUAGACCAACUACAUUCGUUCCGAGAUAAGUAUUACGGCAUUCUUAAUUACUAGUCUGAGUCCAUUAGCCUACUUGCCAACUGGCUACUUUCUGGAGUAGAUAUUUCCGCAAUCGACUUGAAGGGCCUAUUACUAGUACUGUAAACAUUUUUUAUUUACAGCUAUUAGUUUUCAAAGUUUGGCAUGUCUGGGAAAACAUUUUUCAGCCGAGAAUCAUCAUGCCUUUUUCCUAUAAUCCCGGAAGACAGAAGAAUACCCGCGACUACCUUUUUGGCUGCGGCAGAAAUGAUUUUACCAUUUUUUGAUAAAUUGGGUACUGGCUUUAGUGUCAUCAAAAAUGACCUCGCCGGAAAUAUCCAGUCUUUAAAGAAGAAACAUGCAAUGAAUCCAGAAUUGUUCACAACCAUUGAUGCUAUGUUAGAAGAUGAAGUUGAUAAACCAAAGGUUGACUUGGCUAAGGUGGCAGCUCUAUGGCUUAAAAGAGGAUUGGAUUUUGUUUGCACCUAUCUUGAGUUAUUCUACAAGAAUAGAGAUGAUGGUUUAGAAUCAACGCAGCCUUAUUUAUCUGAAGCUUAUGCUAGAAUAUUAAAACAAUAUCAUGGUUUUAUUUUAAAAAAACUUUUUGCUGGACUAUCAAGAAUGGUAGAAUAUAAAAAAGUUAUAUUAAAAAACAUGAAGGUAGACCCGACAGCUCCAGAUGAAGUUGUUUAUGCUGAUUUGGAGAUAUACAACAAGUUACUACGAGAAAAUGUUAUAGUUUUAGAUGAAAUGUUGAAGAAAUUAAACUUUGAUUCAGAUAAUAAAGUAUAAAACCCAGGUCAAUAUUUUUAAUACAUGGUAAUCUUUUUUUUUUCUUACAUGGAGGAAUAUUUGAAAUAGUUGGGAUAAUAUUAAUUAUGAUGUAAAGUAGAGUAAGAGCUAUCGAUCUGAAACAAUCCAUUCUUCUUAUCAUCAAGUUUUAUUAAAUUGAUCAAGUUUUCUGUGUCAAUGUGUAGCAUCGUCAGAUCAACAGCCGUAAUGAAUCUGUUAAAGACUUAUUAUUACUUUAUUUAGAUUACAGAUUUAUAAUUAUUUUUAUAGGCUUGCGCACGUAAUCUGGAUUCAUAUUGUCGUUAAUCCAUCUGGCAUCCAUAGUUCGUUCUAUAAACUAUUUAAAGACUCUCUACAGGUCACAAUUCUUGUCCGAUUUUGACGAAACUUGAAAUAUAGGUUUAUCCCCAAAAGAUCUUGGCUGCUUUCGAUAUUGGCAUGUAUCGGAUCGAAACUUCAUGGAUUAUGGCCCCUGUUUUUACGAAAAAUCACGUUUUUAGCUUGUGGACCCUAUAGAGGUCACAAUUUUUAUCCGAUUUUGUUGAAACUUAAAAUUUAAGUUUAUAACCCAAAGAUCUCAGUUCCUUUCGAUAUUCGCGCAUAUCGGAAGUAACUUCCUGAAUUAUGGCCCCUAAUUGUAUGAAAAAUCGCGUUUUUAGCUUGUGGACCCUAUAGAGGUCAUAAUUUUUAUUCGAUUUAAAAAAACGUAUUAUUAUAUCACCGUUGCACCCUAUGGAAGGUUGAGUUCAAAUUUCGUGGAAAUUGGACCAAAAUUGCCAGACAAAAUGGCCACCGUUUGUACGCGAAUAGUGUAAAAAUAUGGUAAAUCAAGGUUGUGGACCCUGUAUAGGUCACAAUUUUAAUUCGAUUUUGAUGAAACUUGAAAUGCAUGUUUAUAACCUAAAGAUCAUGGUUCCUUUCGAUAUUUGUGAAUAUCGGAUAGUAACUUCCAGAAUUAUGGCCCCUGAUUGUACGCAAAAUCGCCUUUUAUGGUAAAUAAUGGUUGUGGAUCCUGUAUAGGUCACAAUUUUAAUUCGAUUUUGAUGAAACUUGAAAAGCAUGUUUAUAACCUAAAGAUCAUGGUUCCUUUCGAUAUUUGCGCAUAUCGGAUAGUAACUUCCUGAAUUAUGGCCCCUGAUUGUACACAAAAUUACCUUUUUUAGCUUGUAUUCCCUCUGGGGGUCACAAUUAUUAUCCGAUUAUAUCACCGUUACACCAUAAUGAAGGUUGAGUUCGAAUUUCCUGAAAAUCGGACCAAAAUUGCCGGACAAAAUGGCUGCCACUUGUACACGAUAGUGUAAAAAUAUGGUAUAUCAAGGUUGUGGACCCUGUAGAGGUCGCAAUUUUAAAAUGCAUGUUUAUAACCUAAAGAUCUUGGUUCCUUUCGAUAUUGUCGCAUAUCGGAUUGUAACUUCCUGAAUUAUGGCCCCUGAUUAUACGAAAAAUCGCCUUUUUUAGCUUGUGGUCCCUCCGAAGAUCACAGUUAUUAUCUGAUUUUAAAAAUCGUUUGAAUAUAUCACCGUAACACCAUAAUAAAGGUUGAGUUCAAAUUUCCUGAAAAUCACACCAAAACUGACGGACAAAAUGGCCACCACUUGUACGCGAAAGGUGUAAAAAUAUGGUAUAUCUAGGUUGUGGACCCUGUAGAGGUCACAAUUUUAAUCCGAUUUUGAUGAAACUCGAAAUGCAUGUUUAUAAUCCAAAGAUCUUGGUUCCUUUCGAUAUUUGCGCAUAUCAAAUUGUAACUUCAUGAAUUAUGGCCCUUGAUUGUAGGAAAAAUCACUUUCUUUUUAGCUUGUUCUCUAUCCAUCUCUCGAAAAUGUGGGCGUAUCCUGCCUGGCAGCCGCUGGUUAAAUGUUAUUAAUAGCCCUAAUGAAAUCCAGACUUUUUCGAUUAUUCAUGAGAUAUUUGCUUGUUGUUAUGUUGACUUUCACAGCCAGACCGGGCGACUUUGCUCCUGCUGGAUGUAUCUCUUUGAAUUUAUUGAUAUACUGAGACACAACCAAAAACACUUUUAUUAGAUAAAUUUUAAACCCCAUGUCUGCACCAUAAAAUAACAAGAUUUAUCCUCAAUUCGCCUUUUUUUAAUUAAAUCAUUAAAUGGGAUAGUCAAUGAAUCCGUUUAAAUCUCCGCCAUCCAAUAAUCUAGAGAGUUGAUUAUAGACUUGUAAUGUAAAUAAAUGUCUAAAUAAUACAUGUAGUUUAUAUAACAUUUAAAGCCAAAAUAAAGACCUGCCCCAGACAGCCACUCAGCUCUGACCCUACUUUGGCCCACAUGUGACUGGAUGUGGCCCAGAUCCAGCCAGAUGUUGCCACAUUUGGGCCAUAGUCUGGGCAACACUUGACAACUAUUUGCUCACUGUUGAUGAAAAAAACUUAUUUUUAUAACUGGAUUUAAGAAUAUUUUGUCAGUUUGUUAAAUGGUUUUAAUUGUUUUAUUUGAUUUUCAAAAUGUUUGAAAAAAUAAUAUUAUGCCAGAUGCUUGCCAUGUUUGGGCCAGACAUGGCCCACAUCCAUCUGGCCAAAUGCCUCAAAAUAUCAAUCCAAUAAAUUUCAGCUCAGAAUAUGACGUCUUUUUACUAACAACACACUGUGUGUCCAGAAAAAUGUUAUGAACACACAAUUCGAAGUAAAUUUCAUGAUCAAAACAUUUGAAAAAAUAAUAUUGUGUCAGAAGCUUGCUAUGUUUGGACCAGAUAUGACCCACAUCCAACUAGCCAAAUGCCUCAAACUAUCAACCUCAUCACUCUUACAUAAUGCAUUUUUAAUAUUGUUAGAAGUUUUACCUGUGGUAAGGUAAAAUCAAAUCCAUAUAUGGAGAUUUUUCUUUUGAUGAUUAUUGUUUUUGUAAAUUUAUUGAAAUCUUAUGCAUCAUAAAAUUAACAUCUUUUAUGAUCAAGCUCUUAAUCAUCUUUUAUCUUUUUUUAAUGCCAUUGCCACUUGUUUUGUUUUAUCACUCUAUGUGCUUUAUGAUCUGAGAGUGCCAGCAAAAUGCCUUAACAUACAAUACAACUGAAAUCUACACCUAAUAUGCAAUGUCAUGUGACCUUCAUGGUAAUGACUUUUUCCUCCAGUUUGUAACACAUGUGAUCAAUUGUCUGUAUUUCAACUGUAAAUAUUUGUGUGUGGAGAUUUGAUUAUAAUUAAAGAACAAAAUAAAGUGUCACACAACAUUUAACAGGAUCUUAUGGAAAAUAUCCUUCUGCAAAAUAAAAGCUGUGGUGUUCUUUUUUUUUAUGCAUAUAUUUUUUAUGACAGCAUUUUUACAGUUUGUUUCCAUGAAUGGUUUUACUCAAACUUUGUCCAACUCUUAAUUGAAAUUAAUGCAUCUAAACUAUUCCCUAUUUUAAUAUUGUGACUAUGUGACUUCCUGUAAGCUUUAAAAAGAAGUAAAGCACCAGUAAAUCAGAGCAUGACUGUUAUGUUAUGAACAAUAUAGAUUAUGCUAUCAUCAUAUUAAUCAUUGAGGAUUAUUAAUUUAUUGUUUUGGGGCAUGUGAUUAAAUUCAUGUUUUACAGUACCGAUAUUUUUUACACAUAGGAUUUCUUACUGAUCUUAUUUAAAAAUCCACGUAUUUUAUCAUUCUGACAUCUUAUAACUUGGUUCUUCUCAUUCUAUUAUUGUUGUUAUUUUCCACUUCUAAAUUGUUGUUUUCCUUCAGACAUUCUUUCUUACUUCUUACAUUCUUUGUUUUAACAUUUGCAUUUUAAAAUCAGAAUUUAAUGAAAUGUAAUUAUUCUUUAUGCAUUGAUAUAAUUGGGGCCGAUUUAUUAAGAUUUAAUUUUUUGGGGGUAGUUUUUUUAUUUACUUUUUUAGUCUGUACUGGUAAUUUUGUUUUACAUAGUAUGAUUUGAAUAAAGGUAUUGAUUUUAUUUGGUUAUUAUUAUAGCAUUAUAUUGACUGUAACCUAGUUCUAUUAUUAUGGGAUAAUUAUUGUGUGUAUUUCAUUGCAAUUAAAAAGUAUCAGACUUUGUAUACAUCAUCUGGUGUAUGAAUAAUAUAAUUGUUAAUUGUGUUUGGAGAUACAAUUCUCAUUUAAAAUGCAUAUCAGAAUUUGUAAAUUGUUGAUUCAAGGUUGUUACUUAAAAAGAAUUUUUUAAAAAUAUUUUGCCAAUAAUCUGAAAAAGAUACAAUACAAUCAUACAUAAAUACCCCAAGUAAAUUUUUGUUUUAUGUUGCAAAAAUGAAAAAAAUAAAAUAGGAAGAAUUGUAAUUAUAAUAGUCUUUGGAUUUAUAUUACGUGCUAGACUGGAUAUAUUUCUUGAACAAAGGUUUUUUACCCAAAAGAUCUAUCUACAGGUUUUAAUAUUUUAUUAUCAUAUUGGCUUUAAUUUACAACAAAUAUUUCCAUUAACUUAAAUCCAGGCUACUUUAUUGGAAACUCAACCCAAUUCAGAGCAAACUAUUUUAAUUUUAAUUCACCUGUUGAAUUGGAUUUGACUGAUAGGUUUAGUUAGAUAUGAUAUACCUAGUAAUAGACUAAUCUACUCUAACCUUAUAAACAUAGUGCACUAAUGUACAACAUCUGGCUAGUUACAGUAAAUAGGAAGCAAAUUUAAUGUUUGAUAAUUGUUCAAGCCUUUUAAUUACUGGUUUCUGGUGUAUAUAGAAUAUGUCUCUAUUUUUCUAAUUUGACCACGUUAUGUUUUUAUAAAUCUAUAUAUAUUUAAUAUAAUAUAUGGUUUCUGUUAAUUUAUACACAAGCAGGUUUUGGAAUAUAUAGAUUAUAUAUAUAUUUAAAAUAAUAAUGUUAACUAUUUUAUUAUACACAACAUUACUUUGUGCAGCAUUGUGUUCUUUUGUGUUUAUUAACUUUUAUGCCAAACUCAACUUAUAAAUAUUGAUGCACAUUAUCUAUUUUAAAAUCAAUGUAGAAUUUUUGGACCAGGAACUGAUCCCUCAACACUACUCAUCGUAUUCUUAGGGGUGAUCUUUAAGGCUCCGCCAAGUCAAGUUCGAUGGACAUGAAACCUGGCAUGCUUGUUCCUUGGACAAUUGUGCAUUGUUUGACAGACUAUGAUUUUUGACUGGACAUUACAACCUUAUUAACUAAAACAUUUUAAGAAAGCAGAUUUUUCAUUGGCUAAGAGCUGAAAUUUGUACUAGAAUUUUUACCCUUAGCCAAUAAUAACCCUGCAUUCUUAAAAAAUUUAAGUUUAACUCUAUUAUUGAAAACAAAUUUACCAAGCAAAACAAUUGGAGGUUUGAUAUUUUUGUGCAUUGUGUAGCAUUGUGUAGCAAAAGUAAUUGAUCAAGAUUAGUAAAUUAUAUAAAGAAUUGAAUUACUGCCUAUAUAUUUAUAUUAUUGUUAACAGUGUUGUGUAUUUUAAAUGUGUUUUUAAAUCUGUGAUAAAUGAAAUAAAACCUAUUUUAUACUGCUGAUAAACAA
Patella vulgata (common limpet) is the source of this 6313-nucleotide long non-coding RNA. RefSeq lists it as uncharacterized. The transcript has 6 exons. The record is from RefSeq and is a predicted model, not a curated record. Lineage: Eukaryota; Metazoa; Mollusca; Gastropoda; Patellidae.